Molecule: transfer RNA, 74 nt
Filed under: Rhododendron molle
Lineage: Eukaryota; Viridiplantae; Streptophyta; Magnoliopsida; Ericales; Ericaceae
Also listed under: 21 other names
Description: tRNA-fMet
Rfam family: tRNA
About the family: Transfer RNA (tRNA) molecules are approximately 80 nucleotides in length.
Source: RNAcentral
UGGGGAGUAGAGUAGUUUGGUAGCUCGCAAGGCUCAUAACCUUGAGGUCGCGGGUUCAAAUCCCGCCUCCCCUU